Molecule: long non-coding RNA, 2191 nt
Organism: Mobula hypostoma (lesser devil ray)
Lineage: Eukaryota; Metazoa; Chordata; Chondrichthyes; Myliobatiformes; Myliobatidae
Exons: 3
Source: RefSeq, a predicted model, not a curated record
UUUGUAACAUCUGUGAGGGUCACUUAGCAAUGUCAGACACUGAACACUGACAUUAACCGCCCCCCUUCCAGCACCAACAAAUUAGAAAGGCAAAGCAGUUCUCAUAGACGAUCAUAUCAAAGAGACAAGAACAAAGAAACCUGGACAAACCCGUUAACCUAUAUAAUUAAAAUGCAAACAACAGGAAUUCUGCAGAUGCUGGAAAUUCAAGCAACACACAUCAAAGUUGCUGGUGAACGCAGCAGGCCAGGCAGCAUCUGUAGGAAGAGGUACAGUCGACGUUUCAGGCCGAGACCCUUCGUCAGGACGGAUUAUAAUUAAAACGUCUCCGUCUCAAAUAUAGUAUAACACAUAAUCAAGACCCCAACAGCAAGAAACCGUCGCUUAGCGAUGGCACCAGUGACGUCUUAUCUGGUGCCCAGGAACGUAAACAAGUCUGCUGGAGACAUAAAAUUCUAAAGUUAUUCAGAAGAACUGCUUGUUUUUCAGCUUCAUUCUUGAUGAAGUAUUACAUUUGGGUAUAUUGAAUAUCACCUUAAAACUCUGACCUGCAAUACUCAGAAACAAAUUGCCUCCUUAAUUAACUAAAUACAAAGGUGCAACGAAUGACUUUCCAAUAAAAGAAUGACCAGAAAACAUCACACCUAGGAUGUUAACUUGCCCGUGCCCAUUAGAUUACAUUUACAGGCUGGUCCGAGCUCUUAAUGCAGUUCCACCUCCUCCCGAGGAGAGUGUGGACUUUGCCCAGGGGCUUCUUCCAUAUCUCCCAGCACCGAUGAUUUCAGAGCUUCUUUCGCUUCCUCUGCCGAAUUAAACGACAUCUUCAUGCCCUUGAUAUUCACUCUCAAAAUCGCCGGGUAUAUGAGGAACGAGUCGAUCCCCUUCUGCCGAAGCUUAGCGCGGAUCUCCUUGUAUCCCUGCCGUUCCUGCAUCGUGCCGGGGCUGUAGUCGGCGAAGAACUACAGCUGGGUGCCAUCAGGGAGAGUAGGUUUGGCUUUUCUCGCACCCUCCAGGAUAGCCUGCCGGUCAGUGUACCGUAGAAGCCUAAAAACCAUGGUCUGCGUUCUUGAGGUGUUGUUGGAAAAGAUCCUACGUGCUCUAUCGAUCUCCAAUGGAGUGCUGGUGGGAAUUCUUGAGCGCUCAAAUCCAAUUAGGCAGCAUCUGCUGAGACAACCUCUUGGAUCGCCGCCUCAGCGCCUGUCGCCUGGUUCUGAAGAAGGGUUUCAGAUGCAAAACAUUAAGUCUGAUUCUUUUUCCAGAUGAUGCCUGAUCUGAUAACAUGUUCAACAAGCAGAUUACUCCAUGAUGUUGAGGGUUUGCAGCAAGUUUGUGUUCGGCUGCUGGAAUUCAAGAACUCCGACUUUGAAACACACCAGAAAGCAACUGAGUUUUGCAAUCAAGUCUCUGUUCGUGAGGGGUUCUUGAAUUUGCUGAUACCUGUAGAGGUAAAUGCCUGCCAUCAAACUUCAGGUCCAAUUUAAUUAAAUAGAAGAUGGUUGCACGACGCAGCUUGCGCAGCCACUCCGGUGAAUGAUAUCUGUAAUCUGACAAGUAGGGUGCCGUGCACAAUCCUGAUUUGAUGGAGAAAGAUGUCAGAGAACAGAGGAACAUCUGGAGAAACCUCUGAAAUGCGCUUUUCGCUGCUGCUGUUACUGUGUGAUCCAGAAUCUCCGGAGGGGAAGGCCCCAAAUCCUCAGCUUUGCUUGUUGCUCGGCGGCUGGGACGGAGUUGAAGUGCUCGGUGCUCGGUGUCAAAGGGCUGGUUGGAGGCUCGAGGUUUUCGGACAGACUCAGAGCCCCCAUAAGUGAAUGAAACUGCAAAGGAUACCAUCAAAGAUUUGAAUCUCUGUUUUAGGCGGAGAUGCAAUGCAUGGUUGUUGCAUCACUAUGUCUGUUAUUUCUUUUUGCAUCCUUAUGGCCUCCAGCACAGCACUUAGACCUUUAUCACCUGAAACACAACUGUCACCAUACUGUAAGUCAAUGUUCUCAGAGGCACUUUGUGCUAUCGGAUAUGGCUUAGGUUCAGAGUACCUCCUUGGUGCAGGCUAUCAGUGAGCACCCCUUGGGGUUCAAACUCGUGGCUGAUAGAUUUUUGAUUUUCAGGUGUAUCCACAUUGACAUCAAGUAUGCUGGAUUUUCUCUGUUCCAUGUCAACAUAGGAACCCUCACCAUAGGACUGCCCUGCUGGAGCA